RNAcentral lists this ribosomal RNA (253 nucleotides) under uncultured bacterium. RNAcentral's name for it is "partial 16S ribosomal RNA". It matches the Rfam family "Bacterial small subunit ribosomal RNA", at positions 524 to 776 of the family's 1533-position model. The record is from RNAcentral.
GACAGAGGCCUCGAGCGUUAGGCGGAAUCACUGGGCUUAAAGCGUGUGUAGGCGGGCCCGUAAGUGUCUUGUGAAAUCCCACGGCUCAACCGUGGAACUGCUGGGCAUACUGCGGGUCUUGGGCCAACUAGGGGCAGCCGGAACAAGCGGUGGAGCGGUGAAAUGCGUAGAUAUCGAGAGGAACACCUGCGGCGAAGGCGGGUUGCUGGGCUGAUACUGACGCUGAGGCGCGAAAGCCAGGGGAGCGAACGGG